This is a long non-coding RNA of Neofelis nebulosa (Clouded leopard), 578 nucleotides long. RefSeq lists it as uncharacterized. The record is from RefSeq and is a predicted model, not a curated record. NCBI's taxonomy places the organism in Eukaryota, Metazoa, Chordata, Mammalia, Carnivora, Felidae. The transcript is spliced from 3 exons.
CACAGUAAACCUAUUUCUGAGAAAGGCAUUGCCCAAUGUGUCGAUGUCCGCUAUCUUAUGUGGGGUGAGGGCCAGUGAGUCAGGGAGGAAACAUACCAGAAAAUGAUCUUCGAUGACUAACACAGAAGGGGCUGUUCUCAUGUUGCCCUGAUGGAAAAAUUGGUGGGAUUGCAGGAAUUAAUAAGAACUAUCAGCCCUGCUUGGAUAUUCUGUCCUAAAAUGGUGACAUUUCUGGAGGCUGGGAAGUCCAAGAUCAAGGUGCUUGGUGAUUCGAUGUCUGUGUGAUGGUGUUAGGAGGUGACGUCUUUGGGAGGUGAGAACGUCGUGAGGGUUGAACCCGCAGGAAUGGGGUCAGCAUCCUGAUAAAGACACCCUUGUUCCUCUCCUACGACGUGAGGACACAGUGAGAAGAUGGCCAUCUGAGAGCCAAGAAUCGAGCUGUCACCAGAUACCGAAUCUGCCAGCCCCCCUGAUCUUGGACUCACCAGCCUCCCGAACCACGAACAAUAAAUAUUUGCCGUUUAAGCCACCUGUCUGUAGAUAUUUUUGUUUAGCAGCCUGUAUGGAUUACAACGCCA